CAUUCCUACGGGGCGCAGCAGUAGGGAAUCUUCCACAAUGGACGAAAGUCUGAUGGAGCAACGCCGCGUGAGUGAAGAAGGGUUUCGGCUCGUAAAGCUCUGUUGGUAGUGAAGAAAGAUAGAGGUAGUAACUGGCCUUUAUUUGACGGUAAUUACUUAGAAAGUCACGGCUAACUACGUGCCAGCAGCCGCGGUAAUACGUAGGGAGCAAGCGUUAUCCGGAAUUAUUGGGUGUAAAGGGUGCGUAGACGGGAUAACAAGUUAGUUGUGAAACCCCUCGGCUCAACUGAGGAACUGCAACUAAA
Molecule: ribosomal RNA, 305 nt
Filed under: uncultured bacterium
Lineage: Bacteria
Description: bacterial SSU rRNA
Rfam family: Bacterial small subunit ribosomal RNA
Source: RNAcentral